CGCAGCCUUGUCAAAUUCAGGACUGCCUGCUCCAUGGUGACUCCUGGCCAGUGGGCUGCUACAAGAACCUGUAGUUCAUGGGCCUCACGUUCUCCCUUGCAGACACCU
Small nucleolar RNA from Bufo bufo (common toad), 108 nucleotides. RefSeq annotates it as small nucleolar RNA SNORA5. The record is from RefSeq and is a predicted model, not a curated record. Lineage: Eukaryota; Metazoa; Chordata; Amphibia; Anura; Bufonidae. The transcript has a single exon.